UAGGGAAUCUUCGGCAAUGGACGAAAGUCUGACCGAGCAACGCCGCGUGAGUGAAGAAGGUUUUCGGAUCGUAAAGCUCUGUUGUAAGAGAAGAACGAGUGUGAGAGUGGAAAGUUCACACUGUGACGGUAUCUUACCAGAAAGGGACGGCUAACUACGUGCCAGCAGCCGCGGUAAUACGUAGGUCCCAAGCGUUGUCCGGAUUUAUUGGGCGUAAAGCGAGCGCAGGCGGUUAGAUAAGUCUGAAGUUAAAGGCUGUGGCUUAACCAUAGUACGCUUUGGAAACUGUUUAACUUGAGUGCAAGAGGGGAGAGUGGAAUUCCAUGUGUAGCGGUGAAAUGCGUAGAUAUAUGGAGGAACACCGGUGGCGAAAGCGGCUCUCUGGCUUGUAACUGACGCUGAGGCUCGAAAGCGUGGGGAGCAAACAGGAUUAGAUACCCUGGUAGUCCACGCCGUAAACGAUGAGUGCUAGGUGUUAGACCCUUUCCGGGGUUUAGUGCCGCAGCUAACGCAUUAAGCACUCCGCCUGGGGAGUACGACCGCAAGGUU
This 549-nucleotide ribosomal RNA is filed under the name uncultured bacterium. RNAcentral's name for it is "bacterial SSU rRNA". It matches the Rfam family "Bacterial small subunit ribosomal RNA", at positions 355 to 895 of the family's 1533-position model. The record is from RNAcentral.